Molecule: ribosomal RNA, 745 nt
Filed under: uncultured bacterium
Lineage: Bacteria
Description: bacterial SSU rRNA
Rfam family: Bacterial small subunit ribosomal RNA
Source: RNAcentral
AGAGUUUGAUCAUGGCUCAGAACGAACGCUGGCGGCAGGCUUAACACAUGCAAGUCGAACGCUCGUAGCAAUACGGGAGUGGCAGACGGGUGAGUAACGCGUGGGAACAUACCCUCCGGUUCGGAAUAGCUCAGGGAAACUUGGAUUAAUACCGGAUACGGCUGAGAGGCGAAAGAUUUAUCGCCGGAGGAUUGGCCCGCGUUCGAUUAGCUUGUUGGUGAGGUAACGGCUCACCAAGGCGAUGAUCGAUAGCUGGUCUGAGAGGAUGAUCAGCCACAUUGGGACUGAGACACGGCCCAAACUCCUACGGGAGGCAGCAGUGGGGAAUAUUGGACAAUGGGCGCAAGCCUGAUCCAGCCAUGCCGCGUGAGUGAUGACGGCCUUAGGGUUGUAAAGCUCUUUCGCUCGGGACGAUAAUGACGGUACCGAGAUAAGAAGCCCCGGCUAACUUCGUGCCAGCAGCCGCGGUAAUACGAAGGGGGCUAGCGUUGUUCGGAAUUACUGGGCGUAAAGCGCGUGUAGGCGGGUCUUUAAGUCAGGGGUGAAAUGCCAAGGCUCAACCUUGGAACUGCCUUUGAUACUGGAGAUCUUGAGUCCGGGAGAGGUGGGUGGAAUUGCGAGUGUAGAGGUGAAAUUCGUAGAUAUUCGCAAGAACACCAGUGGCGAAGGCGGCUCACUGGCCCGGGAACUGACGCUGAGACGCGAAAGCGUGGGGAGCAAACAGGAUUAGAUACCCUAGUAGUCC